This 1443-nucleotide ribosomal RNA is filed under the name uncultured organism. RNAcentral's name for it is "SSU rRNA". It matches the Rfam family "Bacterial small subunit ribosomal RNA". The record is from RNAcentral.
AACGCUAGCUACAGGCUUAACACAUGCAAGUCGAGGGGCAGCAUGGUCUUAGCUUGCUAAGGCCGAUGGCGACCGGCGCACGGGUGAGUAACACGUAUCCAACCUGCCGUCUACUCUUGGACAGCCUUCUGAAAGGAAGAUUAAUACAAGAUGGCAUCAUGAGUCCGCAUGUUCACAUGAUUAAAGGUAUUCCGGUAGACGAUGGGGAUGCGUUCCAUUAGAUAGUAGGCGGGGUAACGGCCCACCUAGUCUUCGAUGGAUAGGGGUUCUGAGAGGAAGGUCCCCCACAUUGGAACUGAGACACGGUCCAAACUCCUACGGGAGGCAGCAGUGAGGAAUAUUGGUCAAUGGGCGAGAGCCUGAACCAGCCAAGUAGCGUGAAGGAUGACUGCCCUAUGGGUUGUAAACUUCUUUUAUAAAGGAAUAAAGUCGGGUAUGCAUACCCGUUUGCAUGUACUUUAUGAAUAAGGAUCGGCUAACUCCGUGCCAGCAGCCGCGGUAAUACGGAGGAUCCGAGCGUUAUCCGGAUUUAUUGGGUUUAAAGGGAGCGUAGAUGGAUGUUUAAGUCAGUUAUGAAAGUUUGCGGCUCAACCGUAAAAUUGCAGUUGAUACUGGAUAUCUUGAGUGCAGUUGAGGCAGGCGGAAUUCGUGGUGUAGCGGUGAAAUGCUUAGAUAUCACGAAGAACUCCGAUUGCGAAGGCAGCCUGCUAAGCUGCAACUGACAUUGAGGCUCGAAAGUGUGGGUAUCAAACAGGAUUAGAUACCCUGGUAGUCCACACGGUAAACGAUGAAUACUCGCUGUUUGCGAUAUACAGCAAGCGGCCAAGCGAAAGCGUUAAGUAUUCCACCUGGGGAGUACGCCGGCAACGGUGAAACUCAAAGGAAUUGACGGGGGCCCGCACAAGCGGAGGAACAUGUGGUUUAAUUCGAUGAUACGCGAGGAACCUUACCCGGGCUUAAAUUGCAGAUGAAUUACGGUGAAAGCCGUAAGCCGCAAGGCAUCUGUGAAGGUGCUGCAUGGUUGUCGUCAGCUCGUGCCGUGAGGUGUCGGCUUAAGUGCCAUAACGAGCGCAACCCUUGUUGUCAGUUACUAACAGGUCAUGCUGAGGACUCUGACAAGACUGCCAUCGUAAGAUGUGAGGAAGGUGGGGAUGACGUCAAAUCAGCACGGCCCUUACGUCCGGGGCUACACACGUGUUACAAUGGGGGGUACAGAGGGCCGCUACCACGCGAGUGGAUGCCAAUCCCCAAAACCUCUCUCAGUUCGGACUGGAGUCUGCAACCCGACUCCACGAAGCUGGAUUCGCUAGUAAUCGCGCAUCAGCCACGGCGCGGUGAAUACGUUCCCGGGCCUUGUACACACCGCCCGUCAAGCCAUGGGAGCCGGGGGUACCUGAAGUGCGUAACCGCGAGGAGCGCCCUAGGGUAAAACUGGUGACUGGG